RNAcentral lists this long non-coding RNA (967 nucleotides) under Homo sapiens (human). RNAcentral's name for it is "HSALNT0396624". Lineage: Eukaryota; Metazoa; Chordata; Mammalia; Primates; Hominidae. The record is from RNAcentral.
CUCUUCACUGCCCUGUGUCUUCUUUCCAAGGGUCUCGGUGAUUCGGCCACAGCCUCAGCCUCCAUCACGCGGUGAACUGAUGGUGCUGGAAGAUUCAUAGACUCCAGGACAUUCCUGAAGCCGAGAAAAGGUUAAGUAGGGUCUGGCCUGGAAUACUCUCCUAGAUGAAGAUAGCCCAACCAUGAGCCACCUUCGAAGCAGAUGAGAUGAAAUUAAAGCUCUUCAACUCCUAAAGGCCCAGAGACUAUCACAAAAGAGGUCAGAAAUCCUGAAGGUCACUUUCUGACAAACUCAGGAACCCCAGGUUUAUCUUGGAGCCUCAAGAGGAGAUAAAUUCACCCAACUCAGGCUGGAGUGCAGUGGAAUGAUCUUGGCUCACUUCCGUCUCCGCCUUCCAGUUUCAAGUGAUUCUCCUGCCUCAGCCUACUGAGUAGUUGGGAUUACAGGUGCCUGCCACCACACCCAGCUAAUUUUUGUAUUUUUAGUAAAGAUGGGGUUUCACCAUGUUGGCCAGGCUGGUCUCAAACUCCUGACGUCAUGAUCUGCCCGCUUCAGUCUCCCAAAGUGUGAUUACAGAGUUUUGCUCUUGGUGCCCAGGCUGGAGUGCAUUGGCACGAUCUCUGGCUCACUGUGACCUCUGCCUCCCAGAUUCAAGUGAUUCUCCUGCCUCAGCCUCCUGAGUAGCUGGGAUUACGGGCAUGUGCCCCCAUGCCUGGCUAAUUUUGAAUUUUUAGUAGAAACAGGGUUUCUCCAUGUUGGUCAGGCUGGUCUUGAACUGCCAACCUCAGGUGAUCUGCCCACUUUGGCCUCCCAAAGUGCUGGGAUUACAGGCAUGAGCCACCGAGCCUGGCCUGAUUGUACUUUUAUAUAAUAAAAUGCAGUACAUUUAUAAAUUUUAGAUUAUGUGUGAAGUUAAUAGUUUAAUUCAACAUUUUUAACAUGUUAAAUACUAUUGUGCAUUCAAUGA